Molecule: small nuclear RNA, 98 nt
Filed under: Helianthus annuus (common sunflower)
Lineage: Eukaryota; Viridiplantae; Streptophyta; Magnoliopsida; Asterales; Asteraceae
Source: RNAcentral
GUCCCUUCGGGACAUCCGAUAAAAUUGGAACGAUACAAAGAAGAUUAGCAUGGCCCUGCGUAAGAUGACACACACAAGUGGUCAGAGUUUAUACUUUA